AGUUUCUGAUCUCUGUUACUGAAAUCAAAAAUGUUAGGAAGUUUCUUUUCUUCAAUGCUUUGCAGCCAUUCCUAUUAACAAGCAGCUCUACAGCAUCAGCUAUGUCUGUUUCACAGCCGGUGCAGCUGGAAUUGUGUUUUCUGGAUUCUACAUUCUGAUUGAUGUUUUGGGAUGGAGGACUCCAUUUUUAUUCCUGGAGUGGAUAGGGAUGAAUGCUAUGCUAGUUUUCGUACUCGGAGCACAAGGAAUCCUUGCAGGAUUUGUGAAUGGAUGGUAUUACAAGAACCCUGAUAACACACUUGUUAACUGGAUUCAGACACAUGUAUUUAUCAAUGUUUGGAAAUCAGAGCGACUAGGAACCCUUUUGUAUGUGAUAUUUGCUGAAAUUACAUUCUGGGGAGUUGUAGCAGGCAUCUUGCACAAAUUGGGUAUAUACUGGAAGUUAUAAGAAGCACAUACUGCUCUAAGUAUACAGAGGAAUGGCGUGUUGAUAUAUUAGAAUAUUCACACAUUAAUCUUAAGAAUUCAAAAUGCUAUUAGUAUUUCUCUGUGUUGUCUUUUAGAGUACCCAAAAUAUUACAGUGGCUUUGUUUAAAAUAUUGUGAGAGUUCAAAGGAAGUUUUGGGCACAAGUUUGCAAAAGA
Molecule: long non-coding RNA, 643 nt
Organism: Mangifera indica (mango)
Lineage: Eukaryota; Viridiplantae; Streptophyta; Magnoliopsida; Sapindales; Anacardiaceae
Exons: 3
Source: RefSeq, a predicted model, not a curated record